This is a long non-coding RNA of Manis javanica (Malayan pangolin), 868 nucleotides long. RefSeq lists it as uncharacterized. NCBI's taxonomy places the organism in Eukaryota, Metazoa, Chordata, Mammalia, Pholidota, Manidae. The record is from RefSeq and is a predicted model, not a curated record.
GAAGGGAGCUGAGACCUGUGGAGCAAAAUUACUGAAUUCCAGAUAAAGAAGAUGUCCCAGAUGCUUCUAGAAACUAAGAACAACUCAGCAAGACAGGGACAGCAGAAGCCAGGGGGAAAUGUCCAGUGGCCUCCUGACCCAGGCUGCCCUUGCUUCACAUGUCAACACCAGGCUGAGCUCCUUGUUUGGGAGAUGAAAGAUGGAUUUCAGAAGAGACGCCUCAGCUCAGAACAAUCACUGUGGCCACAGCAUAACCCUCUGCACUUUGUGGGUUUAAUGGACUUUUCUCUCCAGUCCUCAAAAAGCAGCAACUGGCAUUUGCCUGAGCCUUGACUGAGGUGUGGAAAAUCUGUCAAGUUUUCUCUGCCGCUUACCCUAACCACAAUUAUACGGUCCAUAUGCAGAUUAGCUGCAAAGUCAUUCUUCCUGUGGGAGCGACAAGAUUUCCAAAUAAGAAAAGGUACCCACGGUACCCUCGAGUGCCCAUGUGCGUUAGCAAGGCAGGGGUGGGGUGGGAGGGUGUACGGAGCCGGGAGGGAAAUGCCUUCCAAAGGGCGUAACAACAGAAAAGGAGCUGUACCAGGGUGGUGACAUGGCAAGAACAGAGAGUGGUAUUGUCAUGGGCAGAGUAAUCCUGUGACACACUGCUGUCACUCAGCACCCGGCUCCCUGCUGCGCCAGCCAGACAUCAAAGGCUGCCCCAUACCAUCUUACAUGGUCUUUAUCGGCUAAUCAGCCCAUUCUUCCCCUAAAUAAAGCCCUGCUAAAUCCCCUGCUCACAGGGGCAUAGUGGUCCUGGUGCCCAUCUGCCCUUGCUUCACAUGUCAGCUGAAGCAGGAGGGUCAGCUGAAGCAGGCGGCGGUUCGCU